Long non-coding RNA from Musa acuminata AAA Group (dessert banana), 5348 nucleotides. RefSeq lists it as uncharacterized. The record is from RefSeq and is a predicted model, not a curated record. Lineage: Eukaryota; Viridiplantae; Streptophyta; Magnoliopsida; Zingiberales; Musaceae. The transcript is spliced from 3 exons.
UUUAAAAAUUAUUAAUAAAGAUUUAUAUGUAAAUUGGAGGACCUAUAUGUAAAUAUAGAAAUUACAAGGACUAAACUGCUAAGUUGCAAAAAAGAAAAAAAAAGGGGAAAACCGAAAAUUCGGUAUUAUCCCACCGCCUCCCACGCACUCUGUUUCUUCCAGAAACAGAGAGAGCGGUGGGGCGUGAGGACAAGAAGGAGAGUGGUAGAAGAAGAGGAGGUGGCUGCAGCGAGAAGCUGUGGGGCGUGGGGAGAAGAAGAGAGGAAGAAGAGGGAGAAGAGAAGAAGAAGAAGAAGAAGAAGAGAAGAGGAUAGCUGCGGCAAGGCUGCAGCGAGGAGGUGUGUGGGGUUGGGGAGGAAAAGGGAAGAGGAGAAGAAGAGGGAAAAGAGAGGGAAGAGGGAGAGGAGCAAGAGGUGGCAGCAGCUAGGGCUGCAGCACCUCUGUUUCCUGCAGGUGGAAACAGAGGAGAGGUGUGGGGCGUUCGAAGAGGAGAAGAAGAAGAAGAGGAAGAGAAGAGGAAGAGGAAGCAGGGGAAGAGGUUGUGAUACCUCUGUUUCCUGCAGACGAAACAGAGGAGAGGGUGUGGGUGACGUCGGGGAGAAGAAGGGGAGGAAGGAGAAGAAGAGAAGAAGAAGAAAGGAAGGAAAAGGAAGAGGAGAAGGGAAGAAAGUAGCUGCGGCUGCGGUUGUGGCAGCUGCAGCUGUGGCAGGGAAAGAAGAAGAGAAAGGAAGAAGGGAAGGAGAGGAAGAAGAGUAGGGGCUGCGGCUGCGGCGAUGGCAGCUGCAGUUGGAAGAGAAGAAGGAGAGGAAGAUGAGCAGGGGAGGAAGAAAAGGCUGUGGCCGUGGCUGAGGCUGCGACUGCAGCAUUCAGCUGGGAAAGAAGAGAAGGAAAGGAAGAAGAAGAGAAAGGAAGAAGGGAAGGAGAGGAAGAAGAGAAGGGGCUACGGCUGCGGCGAUGGCAGCUGCAGUUGGAAGAAAAGAAGGAGAGGAAGAUGAGCAGGGGAGGAAGAAGAGGCUGCGAGUGUGGUGGCUGCGGCCGUGGCUGCGACUCCGGCUGCGGCUGCGACGUUGGCUGCGGUAGCUGCGGCAGCGGUGGUGGCUGCAGUAGCUGCAGUAGCUGCUUUUGGGAAAGAGAAAGAGUAGGAACGAGAGAAGGGAAGAAGGAAAUAGUGCAGUGGAAGGGGGCUGCGGUUGUGAUCGCAGUUGCGGUCGUGGCUGCGAUUGUGGCAGCGGCAGCGACGGCGGCUGUGGCAGCUGUGUUUGGGAAAGAAAAAGAAGGAAUGAGAGUAAGAGAGAGCAGGUGACUGUGCCUCGAUGUUCGACACGUGAUGUAGUUACGAAGAAAGGAAGAAAACGGGAGCACAAAACGAAACAGAGAGAGGACACGGAGGAAAAGUAGAAAGAUUGGAUUGGCACCUUCCUUGGAUAUUCAGAUCAAAAUAUUUGAAAGGUCAGCUUGUCACUCUUCGAGAUGUUUGAUUUGGGCUGAGGCAGUGGAUAGCUAUUCAGAAUAAUGGGCAAGUCUGGUUGGUUAUUACGAUAUUGUUGUAUAAGUAUGUCUUGUAUAUAAUGAAAGGUUGUCGAUGAACCGAAAUGGAUAUACUGUGUCCAAGUGUUAGGAGAUCUCUCUUAUUUGGAAUUUCAGAAUGUUAAGUCUAAUUUAUGGUGAUAUGAACUUGUGGUGAAUAGUUGGAGUUCUGAUUGUAUAAUUUAUUUAGCUUGUGGAUUUAUAAAUGUUGUUCAUUUUUUUGUCAAGUUGGCUUGGGUUGCCAUAAAUGUGAAUUAUCGAGUGAUGUGAUAUAUGAUUUUAAACUGCACAGGUUUUAUGGAUGUAAAUAUGAAUAGAAUGUUUUUCAGUGUCCUCAAACGUUAGUUUGGAUCCUGGAUUGGUUUGUGAUGAAAAUUGUUUUAAAAAUCAUGGAUAUUUUGAGGGGCGUGACAGAGGUGGUAUCAGAGCAUGGUUUGAGGAUCACUGAAAUAUUUGAUAUGUUGACGUGCAAAAUAUAUUGAGGUCUAGUGAACUAUAGUGAUUGGUGGAAAUUUUCUUUGAUGUAUUUUAGGAAUCUGAGAUGAUGAGGACAUUUGGUCCUCCUAUUUCAUUUGUUUCUGAUUAAUUAAGGGGAAUGAAAGGAUUGAUCGAGGAUAUUGAAUCAGAGUGGCGCAGCGGAAGCAUGGUGGACCUAAUUUCAUUGGUGGUAGAAAAAUGAAUGAUGCAAACAGAGAAGAUAUAUGAUGUACAAAAUUGUUCUGAUGAUCGAAAGAUUUCUUUUGCCACCUUAUAUUGGAAAUAGAGGCUGAUCAUUAAUGGCAACAAUGAAAAGAAUUUUUGGAGAUAUAUGGCAAGAAUGAUAAGGAUAAGUUAGCAAUAAAAAUAUGAUUGGAAAUGAAUCAGAAAGUAAUAACAAGAGGGUCAAGACCUUUGAUUUGAAAUGGGAAGUCAUCACAAAAGACUCAAUCAUGUGUGAAUUACAAGUUAAAUUAUGAAACAAGUUUGUACUUUCGGGUGACUGGAGUCUAUUUUGCUUGUGGAAAGUUGGAUCAUGAAAUAAAAGACUGCCCUUUGAACAAGAAGAAAGAGUCACUGCCUCAUAAAUCAUCAGCCCAUGUCAGAGUGUAUGCUAUCACUGAAUAUGAUUCUGAAACUUAUGAAUUAGUGGUCAAAGGUAUUAUGCAUGUUUAUGAAAGAAUGCAAAUAUUUGUUUGAACAUGGGUUCUAUCUACGAUUUGAUUCGUAACAUGUUGCCUAUCACUUGGGUAUUCAACCUAGACCACUGUAUUAUGUGAUAUAUGUAAGUACAAUCAUUGGAGAUUCUUUGAUAACGAACUUGAAUCUAGUCCUCUUGUCUGAUUUUUGUUGGAGAACUUGAACUUUUGCUGAUUUAGUUCUCCUAGAGAUUUGGAGUUAUGAUAUUAUACUUGGUAUGCAUUGGCUAUCUUCUUAUCAUACCGGUAUGAAUUGGCAUAUAACCAAUUAUCACUUUUUGCAUAUUUGAUCAGCCGAUCUUUUAUUUUGAGAGUAUUGGACAUGAUUUAUCUCUUUGCCUAAUGUAUCCCAGAAUGACUUGCUUGGAUUACCUCCAAACGUGACUUUGCUUUUGAUUUGGUCCUUGGGACAAUCCUAAAAUCUAAGCCUCUCUACACAAUGAUAUCAUUUGAGUAAGUGGAAUUAGAAAAGCAACUACAAGGAUUGUUAAAUGAGGAUUUUAUUUGGCUUAAUAUUUCAUCAUGGGGUGCUCCGGUGUUAGUUAAAAAGAUGUAUGGAACAUUGAGGCUUUGUAAUGAUUACAGACAGUUGAAUUAGAUGACCAUAAAAAAUGAGUAUUUUCUGGAGUAACGACUUGCUUGAUUAACUGUAGGGUGCGCAAGUAUUUUUAGAAAUUGAUUGAAGGUCGGGUUACCGUCUAUUGAGAAUCAAGGAGGAGAAUAUUUCGGUCACUCUUGGAUAAUUGUGUAAUUAUAUUGUAUUGAUGAAAUUAUUUGAGAGCAGGAGAAGGAAAUAAAGAUAUCAUAAUCCUCAUCUUUUCGUUGAUUGAGCUAUGAUCAAUUUAGAGGACUAAAUUUUCUUUUAAGGAGGGGAGAGUGUAAUAUCCCUCGCUUUUAAAAAUUAUUAAUAAAGAUUUAUAUGUAAAUUGGAGGACCUAUAUGUAAAUAUAGAAAUUACAAGGACUAAACUGCUAAGUUGCAAAAAAGAAAAAAAAAGGGGAAAACCGAAAAUUCGGUAUUAUCCCACCGCCUCCCACGCACUCUGUUUCUUCCAGAAACAGAGAGAGCGGUGGGGCGUGAGGACAAGAAGGAGAGUGGUAGAAGAAGAGGAGGUGGCUGCAGCGAGAAGCUGUGGGGCGUGGGGAGAAGAAGAGAGGAAGAAGAGGGAGAAGAGAAGAAGAAGAAGAAGAAGAAGAGAAGAGGAUAGCUGCGGCAAGGCUGCAGCGAGGAGGUGUGUGGGGUUGGGGAGGAAAAGGGAAGAGGAGAAGAAGAGGGAAAAGAGAGGGAAGAGGGAGAGGAGCAAGAGGUGGCAGCAGCUAGGGCUGCAGCACCUCUGUUUCCUGCAGGUGGAAACAGAGGAGAGGUGUGGGGCGUUCGAAGAGGAGAAGAAGAAGAAGAGGAAGAGAAGAGGAAGAGGAAGCAGGGGAAGAGGUUGUGAUACCUCUGUUUCCUGCAGACGAAACAGAGGAGAGCGUGUGGGUGACGUCGGGGAGAAGAAGGGGAGGAAGGAGAAGAAGAGAAGAAGAAGAAAGGAAGGAAAAGGAAGAGGAGAAGGGAAGAAAGUAGCUGCGGCUGCGGUUGUGGCAGCUGCAGCUGUGGCAGGGAAAGAAGAAGAGAAAGGAAGAAGGGAAGGAGAGGAAGAAGAGUAGGGGCUGCGGCUGCGGCGAUGGCAGCUGCAGUUGGAAGAGAAGAAGGAGAGGAAGAUGAGCAGGGGAGGAAGAAAAGGCUGUGGCCGUGGCUGAGGCUGCGACUGCAGCAUGCAGCUGGGAAAGAAGAGAAGGAAAGGAAGAAGAAGAGAAAGGAAGAAGGGAAGGAGAGGAAGAAGAGAAGGGGCUACGGCUGCGGCGAUGGCAGCUGCAGUUGGAAGAAAAGAAGGAGAGGAAGAUGAGCAGGGGAGGAAGAAGAGGCUGCGAGUGUGGUGGCUGCGGCCGUGGCUGCGACUCCGGCUGCGGCUGCGACGUUGGCUGCGGUAGCUGCGGCAGCGGUGGUGGCUGCAGUAGCUGCAGUAGCUGCUUUUGGGAAAGAGAAAGAGUAGGAACGAGAGAAGGGAAGAAGGAAAUAGUGCAGUGGAAGGGGCUGCGGUUGUGAUCGCAGUUGCGGUCGUGGCUGCGAUUGUGGCAGCGGCAGCGACGGCGGCUGUGGCAGCUGUGUUUGGGAAAGAAAAAGAAGGAAUGAGAGUAAGAGAGAGCAGGUGACUGUGCCUCGAUGUUCGACACGUGAUGUAGUUACGAAGAAAGGAAGAAAACGGGAGCACAAAACGAAACAGAGAGAGGACACGGAGGAAAAGUAGAAAGAUUGGAUUGGCACCUUCCUUGGAUAUUCAGAUCAAAAUAUUUGAAAGGUCAGCUUGUCACUCUUCGAGAUGUUUGAUUUGGGCUGAGGCAGUGGAUAGCUAUUCAGAAUAAUGGGCAAGUCUGGUUGGUUAUUACGAUAUUGUUGUAUAAGUAUGUCUUGUAUAUAAUGAAAGGUUGUCGAUGAACCGAAAUGGAUAUACUGUGUCCAAGUGUUAGGAGAUCUCUCUUAUUUGGAAUUUCAGAAUGUUAAGUCUAAUUUAUGGUGAUAUGAACUUGUGGUGAAUAGUUGGAGUUCUGAUUGUAUAAUUUAUUUAGCUUGUGGAUUUAUAAAUGUUGUUCAUUUUUUUGUCAA